RNAcentral lists this transfer RNA (56 nucleotides) under Homotoma ficus. Its description in RNAcentral is "tRNA-Cys". The record is from RNAcentral. Lineage: Eukaryota; Metazoa; Arthropoda; Insecta; Hemiptera; Carsidaridae.
UGAUUUCUUAGUCAAUUAUGAUUUUAAAUUGCAAAUUUAAAGGUAUUAUAGAAAUU